AUAAAUUUAUAUAAAUAUA
RNAcentral lists this transfer RNA (19 nucleotides) under Halictus crenicornis. Its description in RNAcentral is "tRNA-Leu". The record is from RNAcentral. Lineage: Eukaryota; Metazoa; Arthropoda; Insecta; Hymenoptera; Halictidae.